CAGGGUAGCUCAGCUGGUUAGAGCGCACGACUCAUAAUCGUGAGGUCGCGGGUUCAAGCCCCGCUCCUG
Molecule: transfer RNA, 69 nt
Filed under: Microbacterium maritypicum
Lineage: Bacteria; Bacillati; Actinomycetota; Actinomycetes; Micrococcales; Microbacteriaceae
Also listed under: 1 other name
Rfam family: tRNA
About the family: Transfer RNA (tRNA) molecules are approximately 80 nucleotides in length.
Source: RNAcentral